AGUGAACGCUGGCGGUAGGCCUAACACAUGCAAGUCGAACGGCAGCACAGUAAGAGCUUGCUCUUACGGGUGGCGAGUGGCGGACGGGUGAGGAAUACAUCGGAAUCUACUUUUUCGUGGGGGAUAACGGAGGGAAACUUACGCUAAUACCGCAUAUGACCUACGGGUGAAAGCAGGGGAUCUUCGGACCUUGGGCGAUUGAAUGAGCCGAUGUCGGAUUAGCUAGUUGGCGGGGUAAAGGCCCACCAAGGCGACGAUCCGUAGCUGGUCUGAGAGGAUGAUCAGCCACACUGGAACUGAGACACGGUCCAGACUCCUACGGGAGGCAGCAGUGGGGAAUAUUGGACAAUGGGCGCAAGCCUGAUCCAGCCAUACCGCGUGGGUGAAGAAGGCCUUCGGGUUGUAAAGCCCUUUUGUUGGGAAAGAAAAGCAGCAGGUUAAUACCCCGCUGUUCUGACGGUACCCAAAGAAUAAGCACCGGCUAACUUCGUG
RNAcentral lists this ribosomal RNA (492 nucleotides) under uncultured bacterium. RNAcentral describes it as "partial 16S ribosomal RNA". It matches the Rfam family "Bacterial small subunit ribosomal RNA", at positions 29 to 507 of the family's 1533-position model. The record is from RNAcentral.